ACGGUGCUAACAUGAACGCCCAGGUCGGUUUGACAAGUCCAGGUCUCAUUGGCGCAGAUGUUUGUCACUUGAAUUUACAUAAGACAUUUUGCAUUCCUCAUGGUGGUGGUGGUCCGGGAGUUGGAUCAAUCGGGGUAGCAGCACAUCUUGCCCCAUUCUUACCAGGUCAUGUUGUAGGCCAAGAAGCUUCUGGUAAAUUAUGUGGAUCGGACUUAUGUGUUCCCAAAUCAGAUGGAGCAGUAGCCGGUGCUCCUUUUGGAUCUGCUGCAAUCCUUCCUAUAUCAUGGAUGUACAUUAAGAUGAACGGCAAGAAAGGGCUUAAGAAAGCAACUCAAUAUGCUAUCCUCAAUGCGAACUACAUGGCAGCUCGUCUGAACGGAGC
Molecule: non-coding RNA, 382 nt
Filed under: Chaetoceros neogracilis
Lineage: Eukaryota; Bacillariophyta; Thalassiosirophyceae; Chaetocerotales; Chaetocerotaceae
Source: RNAcentral